UCAGAUAGAGCAGCAAGAAGGAGGAUACGAUUGGAUAGGGAUUUAGAGCCAGGCAAUUUGACAGUGCCUGAUAUUUCUUUGAUGGGUUGCAGCACAAUCUCAGAAGGUUUCUGGGUUGUAGCCACUGAUGCUGAAAUCCUAAAAGAAGAAGAACACGACCUUGUUGUCAAAACUGAAUCUUUAUUCAAAACCCACAAACAUUUUACUGAUUUUUUCAGGUUUUUAGAUCCAAAAGGAAGUGAAGGGAGA
Molecule: unclassified non-coding RNA, 249 nt
Filed under: Hevea brasiliensis (rubber tree)
Lineage: Eukaryota; Viridiplantae; Streptophyta; Magnoliopsida; Malpighiales; Euphorbiaceae
Source: RNAcentral